GACAGAGGGGGCAAGCGUUGCUCGGAAUUACUGGGCGUAAAGGGCGCGUAGGCGGGAUGGCAAGUCGGUCGUGAAAUCCUUCGGCUCAACCGAGGAACUGCGUCUGAUACUGGAAGGCUUGAAUCCGGGAGAGGUAAGUGGAAUUCCGAGUGUAGAGGUGAAAUUCGUAGAUAUUCGGAAGAACACCAGUGGCGAAGGCGACUUACUGGACACAUAUUGACGCUGAGGUGCGAAAGCGUGGGGAGCAAACAGG
RNAcentral lists this ribosomal RNA (253 nucleotides) under uncultured bacterium. RNAcentral's name for it is "partial 16S ribosomal RNA". It matches the Rfam family "Bacterial small subunit ribosomal RNA", at positions 524 to 776 of the family's 1533-position model. The record is from RNAcentral.